This 94-nucleotide transfer RNA is filed under the name Leucoagaricus sp. SymC.cos. It matches the Rfam family "tRNA". From Rfam's summary of the family: Transfer RNA (tRNA) molecules are approximately 80 nucleotides in length. Their secondary structure includes four short double-helical elements and three loops (D, anti-codon, and T loops). Further hydrogen bonds mediate the characteristic L-shaped molecular structure. tRNAs have two regions of fundamental functional importance: the anti-codon, which is responsible for specific mRNA codon recognition, and the 3' end, to which the tRNAs corresponding amino acid is attached (by aminoacyl-tRNA synthetases). tRNAs cope with the degeneracy of the genetic code in two manners: having more than one tRNA (with a specific anti-codon) for a particular amino acid; and 'wobble' base-pairing, i.e. permitting non-standard base-pairing at the 3rd anti-codon position. The record is from Rfam by way of RNAcentral. Lineage: Eukaryota; Fungi; Basidiomycota; Agaricomycetes; Agaricales; Agaricaceae.
GGCGCUAUAGCCAAGUGGUUACGGCGACAGAUUCGAACCCACGUUGAACAUCUGUUCCUCUUUGAGGGCGCAAGUUCGAAUCUUGCUGGCGUCG